AAAUUCGGGAUGUAAAGUUACUCAUAGGAGAUAACAGUUGGAUGUGUGCAACAAAGACUACCAAAUUAUCUCAUCAAACGAUGAAAUCACUAGACGUUGAGAUCAAAUAUUGCACUUCCGGGAGGGGAGUGUCAUGGGUCAUAAUGCUUAUUCUUUUCUUGGAUUUAGCAUUGAAACCGACAAUGCAACUAAAGACUUGGGGUAGAAGAUGCUCACAAAGUCACACCCUUAUGCUUACUAGUCAUGUCGAACGGGAGAAGCCAUUAAAAUGCAGCUUAUCUCAUCAAUUGUCUUCCUU
Long non-coding RNA from Ipomoea nil (Japanese morning glory), 298 nucleotides. RefSeq lists it as uncharacterized. The transcript has 2 exons. The record is from RefSeq and is a predicted model, not a curated record. NCBI's taxonomy places the organism in Eukaryota, Viridiplantae, Streptophyta, Magnoliopsida, Solanales, Convolvulaceae.